Molecule: long non-coding RNA, 810 nt
Organism: Dreissena polymorpha
Lineage: Eukaryota; Metazoa; Mollusca; Bivalvia; Myida; Dreissenidae
Exons: 3
Source: RefSeq, a predicted model, not a curated record
CAGUUAUUAGUCAUCACUUGGAUAUUUAUGUUAGAAGAUAACAAUGUACUUGUUUGUAUUUAUCAGUCAUUUAUAAUUAUGUCUACAGCUAAAUAUGAAGCGUAAGACGUGUGGCGGCAAAUCUCGUUCGUUUGAUGUCUACAGUUCUCAGUGUUACGGAAUCGAAAAUGCGAAAAGUUCAGACACUAAUCCAGCAUGGAGAAAAUCACAGCAGACGAUAAGCACUUCCUCUCAACUCUCGCUUCUAAGCUCCGAGAUUUCGAGAGUUGCAAAACGGGUACGUUUAUUAUCCCGCGGGAGAUCAAUCACAGCCUAGAGUCAGUAGGAAAAUCGACCUAAACUGCUGAAUGUUGAAUAUCUUUACCAUUAAUAAUAAGACAUGCGAGUAGUGCAAUCGAAAAUGAAGACCAGCGAAUCCGAACAAGAGAAACUUCGUUUUGGAAAAUUUAGACUACUUUGACCUUCCCUGUGUUACCCGUAAGUUGAAGUAGACUCGACCUUUCGGAUACUCCGAAACCAUGUGCCUAAAAUGGGUAUUUGGCAAGAGAAACGCGGAGUUUGCUUUUCGCGAUUUCGCGAACGUUACCUGAACACAACAAAUUGCUGUGUGGAAUACAGGUAAAGUAAUCUACGACUGCUUUACAUCGAGAUCUGGGACGUCAUAACGUCAUGUACACGACCGCAGAUAUGUGGUUAUGAAUUACAACGCCAUGAGACCAGCCUAAUUUUGUAGGCAUUGUUAAGCACAUAAAACCCGGUGAAGUGAUAUGUGUACUAUUUUCAGAAAUAAACGAUGGUUUGUACUUACAA